This 451-nucleotide ribosomal RNA is filed under the name uncultured bacterium. RNAcentral describes it as "partial 16S ribosomal RNA". It matches the Rfam family "Bacterial small subunit ribosomal RNA", at positions 28 to 507 of the family's 1533-position model. The record is from RNAcentral.
AGCGAACGCUGGCGGCAUGCCUAACACAUGCAAUUCGCCCGGGGGGGCUUCGGCCUCCCUGUGGCGGACGGUUGAGUAACGCGUAGGGACCUGUCGAGGGGUGGGGGAUAACCGCGGGAAACUGCGGCUAAUACCGCAUGCCGCCGCGUCGUGACAGCCGGGGCCACAGGCGCAAGCCGCCCGCGGAGGGGCCGGCGUCCGGUUAGCUGGUUGGCGGGGUAGCGGCCCACCAAGGCGUCGAUCGGUAGCUGGUCUGCGAGGGUGGUCAGCCACACCGGGACUGAGACACGGCCCGGACUCCUACGAGAGGCAGCAGUGGGGGAUAUUGGAAAAUGGGCGCAAGCAUGAUCCAGCGAUGCCGCGUGGGUGAAGAAGGUGUUCGGAUUGUAAAGCCGUUUCGGCGAGGACGAUGGUGACGGUACCCGCAGAAGAAGCCCCGGCUAACUUAGUG